RNAcentral lists this ribosomal RNA (460 nucleotides) under uncultured bacterium. RNAcentral's name for it is "bacterial SSU rRNA". It matches the Rfam family "Bacterial small subunit ribosomal RNA", at positions 338 to 795 of the family's 1533-position model. The record is from RNAcentral.
CCUACGGGUGGCAGCAGUAGGGAAUUUUGGGCAAUGGGGGAAACCCUGACCCAGCAACGCCGCGUGGGCGAAGAAGGCCUUCGGGUCGUAAAGCCCUGUCAGGUGGGAAGAACAGAGCUGUAGUAAUGUACAGCCUUGACCGCCACCAGAGGAAGCACCGGCUAACUCCGUGCCAGCAGCCGCGGUAAUACGGAGGGUGCAAGCGUUGUCCGGAAUCACUGGGCGUAAAGGGCGCGUAGGCGGCUUGGCAAGUCUGAUGUGAAAGCCCCCGGCUCAACCGGGGAAGUGCAUUGGAAACUGCUGAGCUUGAGUGCGGGAGAGGUAAGCGGAAUUCCGAGUGUAGCGGUGAAAUGCGUAGAUAUUCGGAGGAACACCGGUUGCGAAGGCGGCUUACUGGACCGUCACUGACGCUGAGGCGCGAAAGCGUGGGGAGCAAACAGGAUUAGAUACCCGGGUANUC